CAGUCGCCACGGUAAUACGAAGGGGGCUAGCGUUGCUCGGAAUCACUGGGCGUAAAGGGUGCGUAGGCGGGUUUUUAAGUCAGAGGUGAAAUCCUGGAGCUCAACUCCAGAACUGCCUUUGAUACUAAAAGUCUUGAGUAUGGGAGAGGUGAGUGGAACUGCGAGUGUAGAGGUGAAAUUCGUAGAUAUUGGGAAGAACACCGGUGGCGAAGGCGGCGACCUGGUCCCUGACUGACGCUGAGGCGCGAAAGCGUGGGGAGCAAACAGGAUUAGAUACCCGCGUAGUCCCUGUCUCUUAUAC
This 301-nucleotide ribosomal RNA is filed under the name uncultured bacterium. RNAcentral describes it as "partial 16S ribosomal RNA". It matches the Rfam family "Bacterial small subunit ribosomal RNA", at positions 509 to 807 of the family's 1533-position model. The record is from RNAcentral.